CGUACAAUUAAGAAACAUUAAAAAAUAGUAGAAAUACUGGAGUCAUGAUGAUCAUGAUGAAGUCUGCUGGUGAGAAACAUUUAUGCACGUGCUGUCCUCCAUAAUUCAAAGAGAUUGAAGGAUAAGUUUAUAGGAUGACAAAACGUGGCAGGAGCACUUGGAACUAAAAAUUAAUCCCUUCUGGGAGAAAACAGCACCUGUUCUUUCCGCACUGUUCUCCAGCAGUUUAAGGACUAAGUUAGCCAGAACAUAACGUGUGUUAUGUGCAUUUCAGUGCUUUACACCCUGGUGAACAUCGUCUCAUUUCUAUAUACAUUAUAUGGUUAUAUCUGUUAUAUACACAUACAUAGUUAACUGACAAUAAACUUGACUUCACUUGACUUGAAAAGUAGUCACAAGGGACAGCAUGAAUUGGAGAGCUCUUUCAAUGGGAGCAGAGCUAUAAAUAGAUGAAUGGCCUUUUCCACUGCUGUUUGAUGGGAAAUUCUCUAACAUAAUUUUUCACCUGACUUUGGAACUGGUGUGCAAGUGUUCUGGAAAUCUCAAUCUGAACAUUGUUACGAUAUGGCAACAAUGAAUAUAGAAUUGAGACAGGUUUUUUUAUAUAACAAAUAAAACAUUUAUUAAACACUGCUCAAAAAAACCCCAAAAGUAAACAAACGGCUAACUUAACCAUCAGCUGCUAUACGAAAGCUUGAACAGUCCUUAAAUGAGAAAUGCGAGUACAGUUCUUUAAAGUAGUAGAUGCAAAAGUCCAAAAGAUUUAUACAGUCAGUUAGGAGAGACUUUCCUUGAAGUAAUAAAUUCUCUAAUGUGCGUUACUGCUGAUCCCAGCUGAAAUAUGCCUUGCCCGAAGGAUUUACGAUGAAGGAAAUAAAACGGCUUAAAGGCACUGACCUUUCCUUGGUGAAACCCUGCAUCCAGCUCUUUCUGCUCUUUCAGCAAUGCAGGAGCUAUCUUGGAUUGCAGAUUACUAAUUCCUUCCGAACGAGGAUCAAAUAAGGUUGAACCUGUUUUACCACUGACAACACCAACUUUUCUCAAUCCUUUGGGUUUUCCGAACUUCGAUAAUUCUUCACUCUCCGACUGGACUUUAAUUGACGGUGAUUUUCAGAACUGCCAGCACAACGAUUCUCACAGUAAAAAUUAAAACUCCAUUUUAAAAUGAAACUGCAUCAUAAAAUCAAAUAUGCAGCAGAACAGAGUCACUGAUGAAUUAAACCACAAACCGACCUGUGUCACAGGGAGGAAUUCUCCUUUUAUACCCUGUUGAAAGAGGCUAUCACAUGACCUCUCACUGGUGGGAAAAUUACAUCACUCCACCAUCACAAGACCAUUACAUCAUGCCCAGCAGAGCCUCAAUUACAUCAUGGUCAUGUGACAGUCACAAGAUACCCACAGCUAUGUAAUGUAAAGGGGGUUUCUACUUUUUCUUUGUUACUGCAUAAUGUUAAUCAAAAUGGCUUCUUUGUUUUGUUAAAAGUAGGAAUGCUUCUUUGUUAUGAGAGAGUGCUGGAAGCUUGUUUGGGUUAAAAUUUACUGAUAACGAGUAUUGUAUUCCUUUGUUAACCAAUUGAGAUUAAUGUUGUUCAUUCUUCUGAGCCUGUAAGCUAUUGUUGGCAGCCAUUUUGGGUGAGUCGGUGUGAUGGGGUGAGAGAGAGAGGACGCAAUGCUGUAAGCUGGGUGAGGAAUGGACCCCAAGCAGGGGUCCAAGGCCAGGAGGUACCACAAGGAGAGGAGACGAGGAUAGAUGUGCUUGGUUACCCACUUCGGGUGGUCCUGAGCUGCGAGUCGAGGAGUUCGGAGGGGAUCGAAUGGUGGCCAGAAGACUUCGGUAAUUGAGCUCCAGUGGUUGUGCAUGAACUGGUUUGGACUUUGAUAAGUUUGGUGCCUUUUCUUUAUUUUCUUUUCCACCAUAUAUACUGUAUUGUUAUUAAUCACUUAGUUCUAGUAAUCUUUAUAAAUUGUAAUCAUUUAAUCGCAUAUGGUGUACUGUCUGUUUUUGGGCGAGGCGGGGACAUCACACAGCAUCCACACCAGCGGAUUACCCAGUUUGGCGGGGCCGAAGGCUGCUCCCCCUAGACGAGAACUAGCUGAGUGAGGCUGAGGCGACCCAGGGGUUACAUUGUGGGGGCUCGUCCGGAUUGAUUUCUGUGGAAGCUGUGUGAUCGCCCUCUUUAAAUUAUGUCUGCAGAGAAGAGCUGGUGUGUCUUUGCGGGUUAUUGCUGCACGUGUGUUGGGUGGGGUGGUGUUGGCUGUUGUUGUUCGAGUUCAGACUAGCGCUGACGAAAUGGUGGUGGGACCAUGGGUUGUCCUUACUGUUCGGAGAGUGAGGAAUAUCAGGUUGGGAUGUUUCAGCAGUGGUUGUUGGAAUAAUGUCCAGUCCUAAAGGGGUGGAAGCGUGGGCGGAGUGGACCUCUCAGUUGUUGGGUGAGUGGCAGUGUUUGGCUGAGGGAAAGCGACAGGGAUUGAUUGAAAGUUUGAGUAGGUGGGCUGGUGACAUUGAUAGAACUGUCGGGUACAAUUACCUCGAAGUGACAGCUGCCAGUUAUGGGAAAGCGGGGGAAAAUGCAUUUGGUUCGACUGGAAGUCAAAUGCCUCAGCUGGGAGGUUCAUCAUAUCUGUGGCAGGAGAUUGGUGGAAAAUUUUCAGGGUAUCUUCUUUGGCUAGGGGGGCAGUUAAAUUGCUUGCAGUGCCAGGGGUAUCUGUCAAGGGGAUCAGCUCCUACCUCUGUUGUUUAGUUGAUUCGAGAGGAGUCGGGAAACUUAGAGGAGGCCCAGUGGGGGAAUGGCUUGGGGUCUCUGGGGGAGCACAUUCCCAGCAAUGUACCAAGGAACUCCCGAAAGGAACAGACCCUAUUCCUGAAGGCUUAGAGGGACCACGCACUCGGGUGUCGUUACGGAUGGAUGGAAGCCAUGCUAAAGCCAUCCUCGACACCGGGGCGCAGGUCAAGUUGCUGUACAGUUCAUUUUACAACCGUUAUUGGAAGCAUUUACCCUUGACGACAUUGCGGGCACUGGAGAUUUGAAGUUCCAGUCCCGGUAAUUAUCCAGAUGUCGGUUAUUGGUCAGUGAAAAUGGAGUUCUCAGAGGCCAAUGUGAGGUUUGUGAAUCGUUAAUGCUGAUGUGUCCGGAUACUGUUGAGACGGGAAGCAUUUCGGUUCUGGAGAGGACCAAUACCCUGCUGAUGCACUUGGGGGCCUGUCGGAGGAGGCGGGUGAGCGUUGUUUGGAGGCAUUGUCGAUGCACCCAGAGUUUCGAGCUGCUAGUGCGGAUGUGUGUAGCAGCAUUGGGCCAGUACCGAAUUCAAACAAGAGCCGGUGGUGGUACGGCCUGGGGGUGUAUCUGAGGGUGAGACCCUUUUAGUGGAUGCUGCAAAAUACCACAAGUGAGGGGAGUUGACUGCUGAAGACACCUCAGUGAGAGAGAGGUUGUGGCGACAGGCGUGGAAGAUGUAGGCAGCGUGUGUGUGGAUUAUAUUGCGCUGAAGAGGCAUUGACCAGAAUACGGCCCUGAGGGCUGAUGAGGCAAUGGCCUGUCUGAAUGGUGCGAAGUGGUUUAAGGUGCUGGAUCUGAGGAGUGGAUGUUGCCAGAUCCCGAUGAGUGGGGCCGACAAGGAGAAGACGGCCGUUAUAGGUCCCCUAGGAUUCUUCCAGUCCGAAAAAAUGCCACGGGCCAUAUCUGGAGCCCUUGCAAACUUCCCGCGGGGCAUGGGGAAUACCAGGGGGGAUGUGGAGGUGUUUGGAGCUUUGGUGGAUGUGGAUGAUCUCCUGGUAUUUGGAUUUGCCUCGGAAGAAUAUGAAGCGCGGCUGUUGCAGGAGUGGCUGAGAACUAAAGAGUUAAAGUGUUCUCUGGACUCGUGCCAGGACUGUCGAAGGUCGCAGCUCAUGAGUGACUGUCUCUACGGGAUCAAGUUUGAAGUGGAGACAGAGAGGCCGAAUUCUCAGCAGAGACCGGAGCAAGUGAUCCGGAACCAGUUGGAAGACUUACAAGUUGAGGAAGACAAAGGAAGUUCUCUGACUAAGGGCAACAGAAAUCCGAGAGCCCCGAAAGGGGAGUUUGAGGAGGUGAAGCAAUUGCAGACGGAUCUCGGAAGAGGGAAGCGUAAGCUGGAAGGGAACCUGAAGAUGACCAUCGACGGUCUAAACAAGGUGCAAAGCCUGAAAGUUGAUCUGGAAGAAGUCAUGAGGAAGAAAAAGCUGGAGAUAAGUGCAGUGAAUACUGGACUGGAGGCUGACCAAUCUCUAGCUGCUGCUUUUCAGGUCGGGGUGGAAGAAGCCGUUGGAGUAACAGCAACCCAGAUUGAGAUGAGCGGGACGCAUGAGUCAGAACUGCUGAGCCUGUGGCGAGAGUUGGGGGUGGCAGAGAAGAAGCUGAUCUCUCGAUUGCAGGAGGCUGAAGAGACUGCAGGAGCAGUGCAGGCCACGUGUUUCCGUUCGGAGAAGAUCAAACAGCAGCUACCAAUCGCAGAAGUGAGGAAGAAUACGGAUUCGAAGGAUGAUGUGCUGGAUGUGUGGUUGGAUCAGUCCAGAAGGGAUAUGAGGUGCUGUUCCUCUCCUUCCAUGGAUGCAGCCUGACCCACAGUGUUCCUUCAGUGCUUGAUUCCCCCACCUGAGGACAAGUUAUGGUGGCUAGUUCAUCGACCAACUUGCCCGUCUUUGGGAUGAAGAAGGAAACCAAAGCAUAUGGCGGAAGCCAAUGCGAUCACAGGGAGAAUGUCUGAAUUCCCCACAGAUAGUUACAAGACAGUUACCCAGGAGCCUAAAUUCUUCAUUGCAGUGUCACAACCUGGCAUGUGGCUUAGUAUGGAGCGAGACCUCAAUACGUUAACGUGAAAAGAGCAAGGCAAUGUAAGUACUACUCUGUUUUUAUGUAAUUGAAGGGUAAAUUUGUUUACAGGGUUUCAAAUUCAUUAAAAAAAUUUGCUUUUGGUUUGCAUAGCUUGGAACCAAAUCACAUUGUUUAAACUUGUUGCUGCCAACUGAGCUGAAUGCUUGAUCCACAUUUGCAUUAACACGUCACACCUGAGUUACCUGCUUCCGCUCCUGCCUCAGUGCAUCCAUAGAUUUAUUGCCAUUAGUCAAACACUGUAUAAUUCAGUCACCUUAACUUCAAUUCUGGAAAAUUCAAGUCAUUCAAAAAUUCUGUUGCUUGCGUUGCAGUUCAUGCCAAUUACUUGAAGGCUGAAGCUAGACCCCAGUUCCUGACCUUACCCUGCUAUACUUCUGUCAUUUACUUCAGCAGUAUAAAAUAAUUUAUUUUAUUAGAUAAUUAACGGUUUAUUUGUUCUAGCCACAGCAUUUCCAAACUAAUUCACUCCACCUUUGUUGUCCAUGCCUUCAGCUAUCAAGACUCAAAGUUCUGAUACUUACUCUCUAAACUUGUCUCUCUGACCGAGUCUUCCGCCAUGUUAUAACUUUUGCGGUUCAAUAUCAUUGCUUUCAGAUAGGUUAAGAGAGUUGUCCAUGGAGGCCAUUGUUGCUAUUGCUGUUAGACCACUUCCUCCCCCACCCCCCAGUACACCCACUUCUUGAAA
Molecule: RNA transcript, 5535 nt
Organism: Hypanus sabinus (Atlantic stingray)
Lineage: Eukaryota; Metazoa; Chordata; Chondrichthyes; Myliobatiformes; Dasyatidae
Exons: 4
Source: RefSeq, a predicted model, not a curated record